Molecule: transfer RNA, 65 nt
Filed under: Gorpis annulatus
Lineage: Eukaryota; Metazoa; Arthropoda; Insecta; Hemiptera; Nabidae
Description: tRNA-Glu
Source: RNAcentral
AUUUAUAUAGUUUUAUAUAAAACAUUCCAUUUUCAAUGGGAAAAAGGAUUAAUAUCCUAUAAAUA